AUGAAUGCCUGUCCGACCCAUUUUUCUCGUAGCUGCGCCGGUGGUCCAAACGAUGCGCCCACGCGCCUGACGCGCAGCACGACGGUUAAAGCCGAGCCGCUCGCCCCUGUUCGGGGGAGCGGCUUUUUUU
RNAcentral lists this non-coding RNA (130 nucleotides) under Burkholderia pseudomallei. Its description in RNAcentral is "Burkholderia sRNA 2". It matches the Rfam family "Burkholderia sRNA 2". From Rfam's summary of the family: Upregulated in response to iron ion depletion. Predicted targets include MerR family transcriptional regulator. Lineage: Bacteria; Pseudomonadati; Pseudomonadota; Betaproteobacteria; Burkholderiales; Burkholderiaceae. The record is from RNAcentral. RNAcentral also lists the same sequence under 1 other name.